UGCAGUCGAGCGGUAGCACAGAGAGCUUGCUGCUCGGGUGACGAGCGGCGGACGGGUGAGUAAUGUCUAGGGAAACUGCCUGAUGGAGGGGGAUAACUACUGGAAACGGUAGCUAAUACCGCAUAACGUCGCAAGACCAAAGUGGGGGACCUUCGGGCCUCAUGCCAUCAGAUGUGCCCAGAUGGGAUUAGCUAGUAGGUGGGGUAACGGCUCACCUAGGCGACGAUCCCUAGCUGGUCUGAGAGGAUGACCAGCCACACUGGAACUGAGACACGGUCCAGACUCCUACGGGAGGCAGCAGAGGGGAAUAUUGCACAAUGGGCGCAAGCCUGAUGCAGCCAUGCCGCGUGUGUGAAGAAGGCCUUCGGGUUGUAAAGCACUUUCAGCGGGGAGGAAGGCGGUGAGGUUAAUAACCUCAUCGAUUGACGUUACCCGCAGAAGAAGCACCGGCUAACUCCGUGCCAGCAGCCGCGGUAAUACGGAGGGUGCAAGCGUUAAUCGGAAUUACUGGGCGUAAAGCGCACGCAGGCGGUCUGUCAAGUCGGAUGUGAAAUCCCCGGGCUCAACCUGGGAACUGCAUUCGAAACUGGCAGGCUAGAGUCUUGUAGAGGGGGGUAGAAUUCCAGGUGUAGCGGUGAAAUGCGUAGAGAUCUGGAGGAAUACCGGUGGCGAAGGCGGCCCCCUGGACAAAGACUGACGCUCAGGUGCGAAAGCGUGGGGAGCAAACAGGAUUAGAUACCCUGGUAGUCCACGCUGUAAACGAUGUCGAUUUGGAGGUUGUGCCCUUGAGGCGUGGCUUCCGGAGCUAACGCGUUAAAUCGACCGCCUGGGGAGUACGGCCGCAAGGUUAAAACUCAAAUGAAUUGACGGGGGCCCGCACAAGCGGUGGAGCAUGUGGUUUAAUUCGAUGCAACGCGAAGAACCUUACCUGGUCUUGACAUCCACAGAACUUUCCAGAAAAUGGAUUGGUGCCUUCGGGAACUGUGAGACAGGUGCUGCAUGGCUGUCGUCAGCUCGUGUUGUGAAAUGGUUGGGUUAAGUCCCGCAACGAGCGCAACCCUUAUCCUUUGUUGCCAGCGGUCAGGCCGGGAACUCAAAGGAAACUGCCAUGAUAAAUGGAGGAGAAAGGGGGGGGAUAA
This 1139-nucleotide ribosomal RNA is filed under the name Klebsiella pneumoniae. RNAcentral's name for it is "bacterial SSU rRNA". It matches the Rfam family "Bacterial small subunit ribosomal RNA", at positions 56 to 1182 of the family's 1533-position model. Lineage: Bacteria; Pseudomonadati; Pseudomonadota; Gammaproteobacteria; Enterobacterales; Enterobacteriaceae. The record is from RNAcentral.